RNAcentral lists this ribosomal RNA (362 nucleotides) under uncultured bacterium. RNAcentral's name for it is "bacterial SSU rRNA". It matches the Rfam family "Bacterial small subunit ribosomal RNA", at positions 29 to 417 of the family's 1533-position model. The record is from RNAcentral.
AGCGAACGCUGGCGGCAGGCUUAACACAUGCAAGUCGAGCGGGCACUUCGGUGUCAGCGGCAGACGGGUGAGUAACACGUGGGAACGUGCCCUUCGGUUCGGAAUAACUCAGGGAAACUUGAGCUAAUACCGGAUACGCCCUUUUGGGGAAAGGUUUACUGCCGAAGGAUCGGCCCGCGUCUGAUUAGUUAGUUGGUGGGGUAAUGGCCUACCAAGGCGACGAUCAGUAGCUGGUCUGAGAGGAUGAUCAGCCACACUGGGACUGAGACACGGCCCAGACUCCUACGGGAGGCAGCAGUGGGGAAUAUUGGACAAUGGGCGGCAAGCCUGAUCCAGCCAUGCCGCGUGAGUGAUGAAGGCCC